GACGAACGCUGGCGGCGUGCUUAACACAUGCAAGUCGAACGGAAAGGCCCUUCUUUUGUUGGUUGCUCUAGUGGCGAACGGGUGGGUAGCACGUGAGUAACCUGCCCUUGACUUUGGGAUAACUUCACGGAACUGGGGCUAGUACCAUAUAGGAGCUCCUGCUUCAGUGUGGGGGUUGGUAUGUUUCGGCGGUUGUGGAUGGAGGCGCGGGUUAUCAGCCUGUUGGUGGGGUAGUGGCUUAGCAAGGCUUUGACGGGUAGCCGGCCUGAGAGGGUGACCGGCAACAUUGGGACUGAGACACGGCCCAGACUCCUACGGGAGGGAGCAGUGGGGAAUAUUGCAAAAUGGGCGGAAGCCUGAUGCAGCAACGCCGCGUGCGGGAUGAAGGCCUUCGGGUUGUAAACCGCUUUCGCCUGUGACGAAGCGUGAGUGACGGUAAUGGGUAAAGAAGCACCGGCUAACUACGUG
This 468-nucleotide ribosomal RNA is filed under the name uncultured bacterium. RNAcentral describes it as "partial 16S ribosomal RNA". It matches the Rfam family "Bacterial small subunit ribosomal RNA", at positions 28 to 507 of the family's 1533-position model. The record is from RNAcentral.